CCUACGGGUGGCAGCAGUGGGGAAUAUUGCGCAAUGGGCGAAAGCCUGACGCAGCGACGCCGCGUGAGGGAUGAAGGUCUUCGGAUCGGAAACCUCUGUCAGCAGGGAAGAACGGUCACUUUGCUAAUCAGCAGUGAAUUGACGGUACCUGCAAAGGAAGCACCGGCCAACUCCGUGCCAGCAGCCGCGGUAAUACGGAGGGUGCGAGCGUUAAUCGGAAUUACUGGGCGUAAAGCGCUCGUAGGCGGUAUGUCAAGUCAAGGGUGAAAUCCCCGCGCUCAACGUGGGAACUGCCUUUGAUACUGGCAAACUAGAGUGUGUGAGAGGAUAGUGGAAUUCCAGGUGUAGGAGUGAAAUCCGUAGAUAUCUGGAGGAACAUCAGUGGCGAAGGCGACUAUCUGGGACAUAACUGACGCUGAGGAGCGAAAGCGUGGGUAGCAAACAGGAUUAGAUACCCUAGUAGUC
This 465-nucleotide ribosomal RNA is filed under the name uncultured bacterium. RNAcentral describes it as "partial 16S ribosomal RNA". It matches the Rfam family "Bacterial small subunit ribosomal RNA", at positions 338 to 795 of the family's 1533-position model. The record is from RNAcentral.